AGAGUUUGAUCCUGGCUCAGGAUGAACGCUAGCUACAGGCUUAACACAUGCAAGUCGAGGGGCAGCAUGGUCUUAGCUUGCUAAGGCCGAUGGCGACCGGCGCACGGGUGAGUAACACGUAUCCAACCUGCCGUCUACUCUUGGACAGCCUUCUGAAAGGAAGAUUAAUACAAGAUGGCAUCAUGAGUCCGCAUGUUCACAUGAUUAAAGGUAUUCCGGUAGACGAUGGGGAUGCGUUCCAUUAGAUAGUAGGCGGGGUAACGGCCCACCUAGUCUUCGAUGGAUAGGGGUUCUGAGAGGAAGGUCCCCCACAUUGGAACUGAGACACGGUCCAAACUCCUACGGGAGGCAGCAGUGAGGAAUAUUGGUCAAUGGGCGAGAGCCUGAACCAGCCAAGUAGCGUGAAGGAUGACUGCCCUAUGGGUUGUAAACUUCUUUUAUAAAGGAAUAAAGUCGGGUAUGCAUACCCGUUUGCAUGUACUUUAUGAAUAAGGAUCGGCUAACUCCGUGCCAGCAGCCGCGGUAAUACGGAGGAUCCGAGCGUUAUCCGGAUUUAUUGGGUUUAAAGGGAGCGUAGAUGGAUGUUUAAGUCAGUUGUGAAAGUUUGCGGCUCAACCGUAAAAUUGCAGUUGAUACUGGAUAUCUUGAGUGCAGUUGAGGCAGGCGGAAUUCGUGGUGUAGCGGUGAAAUGCUUAGAUAUCACGAAGAACUCCGAUUGCGAAGGCAGCCUGCUAAGCUGCAACUGACAUUGAGGCUCGAAAGUGUGGGUAUCAAACAGGAUUAGAUACCCUGGUAGUCCACACGGUAAACGAUGAAUACUCGCUGUUUGCGAUAUACUGCAAGCGGCCAAGCGAAAGCGUUAAGUAUUCCACCUGGGGAGUACGCCGGCAACGGUGAAACUCAAAGGAAUUGACGGGGGCCCGCACAAGCGGAGGAACAUGUGGUUUAAUUCGAUGAUACGCGAGGAACCUUACCCGGGCUUAAAUUGCAUUUGAAUAAUCUGGAAACAGGUUAGCCGCAAGGCAAAUGUGAAGGUGCUGCAUGGUUGUCGUCAGCUCGUGCCGUGAGGUGUCGGCUUAAGUGCCAUAACGAGCGCAACCCUUAUCUUUAGUUACUAACAGGUCAUGCUGAGGACUCUAGAGAGACUGCCGUCGUAAGAUGUGAGGAAGGUGGGGAUGACGUCAAAUCAGCACGGCCCUUACGUCCGGGGCUACACACGUGUUACAAUGGGGGGUACAGAAGGCAGCUAGCGGGUGACCGUAUGCUAAUCCCAAAAGCCUCUCUCAGUUCGGAUCGAAGUCUGCAACCCGACUUCGUGAAGCUGGAUUCGCUAGUAAUCGCGCAUCAGCCACGGCGCGGUGAAUACGUUCCCGGGCCUUGCACACACCGCCCGU
Molecule: ribosomal RNA, 1394 nt
Filed under: uncultured bacterium
Lineage: Bacteria
Description: bacterial SSU rRNA
Rfam family: Bacterial small subunit ribosomal RNA
Source: RNAcentral